This 1275-nucleotide ribosomal RNA is filed under the name metagenome. RNAcentral describes it as "bacterial SSU rRNA". It matches the Rfam family "Archaeal small subunit ribosomal RNA", at positions 156 to 1445 of the family's 1478-position model. The record is from RNAcentral.
GGGAAAUAACACUGGAAUGUGUGUUUCCUGAAAUUUGUGUUAUAGGAUGGGCUGGUGGUGGAUUAGGUUGUUGGUGGGGUAAUGGUUUAUUAAGUUGAUGAUUUGUAUGGGUUAUGAGAGUGGUAGUUUGGAGAGGGAUAUUGAGAUAUUGGUUUUAGUUUUAUGGGGUGUAGUAGGUGUGGAAUUUUUAUAAUGUAUGAAAGUGUGAUGAGGGGAUCCUACGUGCUCAUGUUAUUUAUGGGCUUUUAUCAAAUGUAAUGAGUUUGGUGAAUAAGGGGUGGGUAAGAUUGGUGUUAGUUGUUGUGGUAAUAUUAGUGCCCCGAGUGGCGGUUAUGUUUAUUGGGUUUAAGGUGUUUGUAGUUGGUUAUGUAAAUCCUUUGUGAAAUUGAUGUGUUUAAUGUGUUGGUGUGCAGGGGAUAUUGUUUGAUUUGGAAUUGGGAGGAGUUAGAGGUAUGUUGUGGGGAUUGGUAAAAUGGGAUAAUUUAUGAUGGAUUGAUGAUGGUGAAGGUAUUUAAUUAGAAUGGAUUUGAUGGUGAGGAAUGAAAGUUAGGGGAGUGAAUUGGAUUAGAUAUUUGAGUAGUUUUGGCCGUAAAUGUUGUGUGUUAGGUGUUGCCCCUUUUAUGAGGAGGGGUAGUGUUGAAAUGAAGAUGUUAAGUACAUUGUUUGGGAAGUAUGGUUGUAAGAUUGAAAUUUUAAGGAAUUGGCGGGGGAGCACCACAAGGGGUGGAGCGUGCGGUUUAAUUUAAUUCAAUGUAGAGAAUUUUAUUAGAAGUGAUGGUAGGAUGAAGUUUAGGUUGAAGAUUUUGAUUGAUGAGUUGAGAGGUAGUGUAUGGCCGCUGUCAGCUCGUGUUGUAAGGUGUUUAGUUAAGUUUGGUAAUGAGCGAGACCUGCACUCUCAGUUGCUAAUAGUGUAUGUGGAUUGAGUAUACUGAGAGGACUGCCUUCGUAAGAAGGAGGAAGGUGCAGGCGACUGUAGGUCUGUAUGCUUUGAAUUUUUUAGGCUACACGCGCGCAACAAUGGUACGGACAAUGGGUUGCAAUACCGAGAGGUGAAGUUAAUUUUUGAAACCGUAUCUUAGUCCUGAUUGAGGCUUGCAACUCAGCCUCAUGAGGCCGGAAUCCCUAGUAAUUUGGGUUUAUUAUAUUCGGGUGAAUAUGUCCCUGCUCCUUGCACACACCGCCCGUCAAACCAACCGAGCAGGGUUUCGGUAAAAUCACGCUUUUUAGUGUGAUUGAAUCGGAGCUCAGUGAGGUGGGUUAAGUCGUUAUAAGGUC